This 5427-nucleotide long non-coding RNA is filed under the name Hordeum vulgare. Its description in RNAcentral is "long non-coding RNA (HVUL_LNC000902)". Lineage: Eukaryota; Viridiplantae; Streptophyta; Magnoliopsida; Poales; Poaceae. The record is from RNAcentral.
GUGUUUGAGGUCAGUAGGUACCUUUGGUCGUAUUGUAGCCUUGUAGGUGUAUUUUCUCAAAGUUUUUAUAUAUUAAUCAUGCUCCUUUGUCUUAUGUAGGUAUCCCGGCAAACGAGGGGAGGUGAUUGAGAGAUUCAUGGCAGUUGAGCAUGUUCUUGACACGAGAACAACUUCAUUGAAGGGAGCUUUGGAUGGUACGUUUGCUACUCUAGGCUUAUCUAUGUCUAAUUUGAGAGGGCGGUGUUAUGAUGGAGCUUCAAACAUGAGAGGGGAAUUCCAUGGAAUCCUUAUACUCAUUAUAUACAUUGUUUUGCCCAUCAGUUACAAUUAGUGGUUGUUGUUGUUGCCAAAUGUUGUUAAUCAGUAAGGAAUUUUUUUGAAUACACAAGCAUGGUCGUUAACAUUGUUAAUGCUUCUUAUAAAAGACAUGGUUAGUUAGCCCAAGAGCAACAUGAUGAAAUAGUACGCCAAAUAGAGGUUGGGGAACUUCUUGAGGGAAGAGGGAAAAACCAAUUACUAACCUUGCAAGACCUGGUGAUACACGAUGGGGAUCACAUCAUAAAACCUUGUGUCAUCUUGUUGAGAUGUGGAAACCAGUUCUAAAGGUAUUAGAAAACAUACACAAUGAUGUAGAUAAUGUUGCCCAAAGAACCACAGUUGCGGUUGAUAAAGCAUAUGGAGUCUUUUGAAUUUGUUCUCAUAUUGUAUCUUAUGAUUAGAUUAUUGGGCAAGACUAACAAUCUGUCACAAUGCUUGCAAAUGAAAAAUCAACAUAUUGUAUGUGUUGUGGGUUUGAUUAAAACCACAUUGGAGGAUAUUCAAGAGAUUAGGCAGAAUGGUUGGGAUGAGCUCUUUGAAGAGGUAACCACUUUUGUGUCAAAUACAACAUUGUAGUGCCAAAUAUGGAAGAUACAAGAAAUUGAUAAUGGGCGUUCAAGGACUUGGGGUGGGCAAUUGGUAAGUUACAACCAUCAUUUCAAAAACGAAAUAUCAAUGUGUUGCAUGAUCAACUUAUUGUGGAGUUAAACAACCGCUUUGUUGAAAGGUCUACCCAAUUGUUGAGAUGCAUUGCUUGUCUUGAUCCCAAGAAUUCAUUUGCCAAUUAUAAUAAAGACAAGCUAGUUGAUCUUGCUAAUAUGUAUGCUGCUGACUUCUCUACAUAUGAAGUUACUUUUGUUCUUAGUAACCAACUAGACUCAUUCAUUCGGGAAGCAAGAGCUGAUACACACUUGAUGAAUUGCAAUGACCUUGAUCAUCUUGCCAUGAAUAUGGUUAUAACUAAUAUGCACACAAUUUUUCCCUUUGUUUACCGUCUUGUUGAGUUGGCAUUGACUUUACGUGUUGCAACGGCAACAGUGGAAAGGGCAUUCUCGGCAAUAGCAUUAUCAAGACUGGGUUGAGAAACAAAAUGGGUGAUGACUGGAUGAAUCAUAGAAUGGUGUGUUACAUCGAGCGAGAUAUAUUUAUUAGUGUUGAAGAAUCAAAGAUCAUCAAACGAUUUCAAGGUUAUCACACACGAAAAGGCGUUUUGCCUCGUCGUAGACUUAAGUUUCACAAUUUGGAUCUCUUAUUAACUAGUUAUACUUGCUAUAUUAUGCACUGAUUUGCAUUACAAAAUUUAUCAUUGAAGGUUUAGCUUCUUCUGCUAUUGAAGAUGUAGUGAUGGGAGGCUCGGAUCAAUCAAUACUUUGAUUUGGUAUCAAUCUCUUGUUUGUUUGAAUCUGGAAGAUGCAUGCGGCCAUAUAUCUCUUGUAUCAUCUAUAUAUACUUACAUAUUGUCUUUUCAUUUGUCUUACUUUAUUAUUUGAUCAUCAUGGAACAAAUGUUGUCAUUGAAUAUUAUACCUAGUUUAUUAUCAGUUAUGCAAUAUAGGUUGAUUUUUGUGUGCCUUGAAACUAGAAAAAAAAAAUUAGGUGGUUUCUAGCCCUUAGUUUCUCGCCUGGGACGUCAGCCAAUCUUGGCUCCACCAACUGGUCCAAAGAUAUGGUUAUAAUUUUGAUUAGCUCUGAUGUUCUCGGUAGUGCCAUGAAUGAUUAUGAAUAGAUUGGAUGUAUUUUUUUAAGUUAUCAACAUCAUGUGCUAAUGCUUCAACGAGAAAAAAAAAGGGUAAUCCCAAAACAACAGAAUGAGCUAAUUCGCCCUUAAUCAGCAAUUAUCCUAAAACAACGCUGGCAUUGCUUCCCAGUUUCUCCGGGGGUUGCAUGUGGUACAACCAAUCUAAAAAUUGUUUAGAACAUGAUAGAGCCAAGAAAAAACAUAUAUAAAAUAUCAAUCUUGGCGGGAACCCAUGUCAUGAUUUGACUCAAGAAAACAACAGAAUGAGCUAAUUCGACCUUAAUCAGCAAUUAUCCCAAAAUUUCUGCACGCAGCCCUCACCAUUCAGUUUAUCUUACACCAAGAAAAGAGAGCAAAAUUUACAUUUAUGAACAUGAGGAGACAGGUUUGGAUACAAACUGUUUGCAUAGACAUCAUGUCUGUCGCCUGUUCUUACUAUUUCCGGUACCUAAAAUAAAACUUCUCUGGUGUAUAUCUCACCGUAUACCUACAACUGUACAACCUUUGCAUCUGUACUGGCGUUUGAUAGCUACGGGUGCCGAGGAGUUCGUGGAGAGCAAGGCAUUCUUACAGGGGAGAACACCACAGUAAGGGGCGCGUGAUCUGAGAGGCUGUAGUUCUCAGGCCACAUGCCCUUCUCAACUUCUGGGGGGAACAGAACAGCUUCCUUCACGGUAAAGCCAAAGGUUUCGUCGCUCGGCUCAAAUGUGACAAUGCUUUCUUCAGCGACCUCGAUUUCAGUAUCAUCCUCCUCUUGGUUGUAGCAUUUUGGGCUCCAGAUACACCGCUUCAGGUGUUUAAGAAACAAUAUUAACUGGAGAUUCUGAGUGGAAGAAUUCCACUGUAGGGCAAUAUUUUUAAACAUUAGAGAUAGGACAACCUUGGCCAUUUGGUGUUUAGGUUUGAGGUGGCCAUGAACUUAAAUCACAACGAUUUCAGUUUAUUUGUCAUUGCAAUUUUACCCUGACGUAACUGAUAAAAAGCAUACUGACUGUACAAAAAAAUGCCCAAGCAAAGCCGAUACUAAGUAUUCCCAAUUCUGUAAGAAAUUUCAGGCAAUUUGCAGUCAUCUGCAAUUAAAUUUCAGAUCCAUCCUGGGCACUAGAGAUGCGUUCUCACCGAGAACAUGCUCUAGCCAUAAGUUUCCAAGGCCGAUCUGACCUUAUAGAACUUCAAAUUUCUGUUGAACCAAAUUUUAAUCACAUGGCAUGUGCUGCUGGGAGUUAUCAAUUGGUCAUUAAUACUAUGUACAUUCUAAAUCUUGUUGACCUCAUUAUUUAUUCAAUUUUUUAAACCAAGAUGAUCUUUCCGUGUGACAUGAAUCCCCCCCACCACCCCACCAUCACCCACCCACCCAAAAAGAAAAGACACACAAGAGUAAUUACCUGAAAUUCUUUGUAGUCAACAGCACCAUUCCCAUCAUGGUCAACUUCACUCCAUAGAUCUUCCAUUUCUUUAGAAUUUACACGAUCAGGGUGGACCAUUCCUAACUGUAUUUAUUGUAGCAUCAGCAAAAGUAUUAUCUAAAAUAAGUGUUCUCUACAUAGCACACACAGAGUAUCCUUAAUACCUGACAAAGUGCCUGGCAGAAGCUUGAGUAUGUGAUACAAUCAUCUGAACUGUCAGCUUUGAGGAGUGCAAAUGCAUUCUCCUCCGGAAGGGAUGCAACUUGGAGAAGAAGAUACUGAAAAGAGAACAGUUUAGACUUUCAUACUUAAGAGACCAAGGAAUUAUGUAUUCUUAACAGGUUAACUUGUUCUUCAAGGCCAACUACUACUUGAUAUUAGCGAUAGUAUGCCUCUUUUUUAAUUAAUGACACAGUGUUGAUCAUGUUUGCGUACCUUGAUAAUACCAAAGACAGCUUCAUUCCAGCUAGUUUUCAGGGGUUUCCUGCACUUAUCUGGAUUCAGAAGCCAUAUAAAAUCAACUCCACAGAUGUUCCCUCUAUGAUUCCGAUGACUCACCCACUAUACUCAAGAAGAGGUGAAGGUGGAGAAAAAUUAGAAUACAAUGCAAUCAUACAUACACAUAAAGUGUUGCUGGGCUAUCAAGCAUUAGUAGUAAAACAGAAUUGUCAUGUUACCUUGUGUGCAUCUUCUUCGCUGUCACUGUACUGAUGAGCAGUGUCAUAUGAUGAAACAAAUCCUUGUGAACGAAGAAAUUUGUAAACUUGGCCGCGCUUACUUCCAUUCCAAUCACUAUAAUAUGAAUGCCCUGAUCAUAUGUUAAUAUAAAUUUCACUGUAAUAUUCGUACAAGAACAUAAAAGAUAGCAUGCUUACUGCAUACUCACCCACAUAAGAUGAUAGGCAUUGGACCAAGUUUAUGCUCUUCCUGGUAAGCUUCUACAUACUGAAGGAUCUUAUAUACCUACCAUGGACACGGCAGUCAAUUAUUAAAUACCAUGCUGAAAUAUUAGCAGGCUGAAUGAUUAAGUGUACAACAGCAUACUAAUCAUACCUGCUUCAGUCGAACUAUUGAAAGGCUGUGAUCAUGGGGAAACACCAAAUGAGUGUUCACGAUGAGGCUCUGCUGCUGGACAUAGCUGCUGCUUCGAUUUUGCAAGAAAGGUAUGACUGACUCAACAUGCAAUAGCUGAGCAACUCGAUCUCCAAAAUCAUUAAACAGAAGCUCCCGGUGGUUCAAGACACAGAAGUAAUUCAUAUGUACAGCAGUCAGAAGACCUGGGUGGGGAAGAUACAAUUUGAGUGAAAAUUUGCAGACUAGUCCCAGUAGCAUUCUGUAACAAGGUUAUAAUUAAAAAGUUGAAUGUGCCUUCUCCAAAAUAAUUCCAGAACAAAACAACCAAUCAUGGCUACUGACAGAUAUUGCAUAUAUCAGUAUCGAAGGCAUUGAACAUAACAGCUUACAAGUAAUAUUACAUAUUCUUUCAAAUAGUAAACAGAUAAACAAAUCACAAUGUAAGGAUAAUCAUCAGAGGAAUUUAACACAAGAAAUUACAACAUCAACAUGGAAACAAUUUGAAUUACGAUCACGUGAACUGAAAAGAGCAGGCUGAAUAACAAUGUUGGAGUCCCAAUAAUCACACACAUCUUUUACCUUUUUAGUCCAUGUUCUGCAUUUUCUGUGCCAUUAAAUAUUCAAGUUUUCAGAUAUUUAUAGCAAUCUCAGAACAAACUACCAAUUGGAUGGAGCAGGCAAAAUGGACGGGGGUGGCUAAAAGGAAAACACACGUCACCUUACUUAAUCCAUACCACAAGAUACUUUGUCAUAAUACUACCUGAAAUGGAAGAGGGGGAGACAGCUCACCAUCUCCUCGGUUAUUUGUGCGGGCGAGCUUGAACAGCUUAUAAUUCGCAUCACCGAGUCGCUUCUCGUACAUGUUUACUAGCUCAUCAUUCCCCAACCACAC